AUCCUUAUUUAAUUUUUUAAUAUAAAUAUAAUUUUUAAUUUUAAAAUUUAAAAUUUUAAAUAUUUAAAUUUUAAAAUUUAAAAUUAUUAUUUUAAUUAUUUAAAUUUUAAAUUUGAUAUUUUAUAUUUGUAACUUUAAAUUUUUAAAUUUGAGACUUAAAAUUAUAAAUUUAAAUUUAAAUUUUAAAAUUUAAAAUAUUUAAAUUUUAAAUUUAAAUUCAAAUAUAAAAAUUAGGAUAAAAUUAUUAUUUUUUAUUUAUAAUAAUUUACUAUCUUUUUUAUCCCAGCUACUCUAAUCAAACACUAUUUUACUUAUACCUGAACUAAACUCAAUUCUCAAUCAAACACAAAAUUACUCUAACUUUAUUUUAAUUUUAAACUUAAGUCUAUUUUUAAAAUAACUAAUUCUUACUUAACUCCAAGCUAAACUAAGCGUUGUAAUAGU
RNAcentral lists this long non-coding RNA (444 nucleotides) under Ananas comosus (pineapple). RNAcentral's name for it is "long non-coding RNA (ACOM_LNC018661)". The record is from RNAcentral. Lineage: Eukaryota; Viridiplantae; Streptophyta; Magnoliopsida; Poales; Bromeliaceae.